RNAcentral lists this ribosomal RNA (483 nucleotides) under uncultured bacterium. Its description in RNAcentral is "partial 16S ribosomal RNA". It matches the Rfam family "Bacterial small subunit ribosomal RNA", at positions 30 to 507 of the family's 1533-position model. The record is from RNAcentral.
UUGAACGCUGGCGGCAGGCCUAACACAUGCAAGUCGAGCGGAUGAAGGGAGCUUGCUCCUGGAUUCAGCGGCGGACGGGUGAGUAAUGCCUAGGAAUCUGCCUGGUAGUGGGGGAUAACGUCCGGAAACGGGCGCUAAUACCGCAUACGUCCUGAGGGAGAAAGUGGGGGAUCUUCGGACCUCACGCUAUCAGAUGAGCCUAGGUCGGACUAGCUAGUUGGUGGGGUAAAGGCCUACCAAGGCGACGAUCCGUAACUGGUCUGAGAGGAUGAUCAGUCACACUGGAACUGAGACACGGUCCAGACUCCUACGGGAGGCAGCAGUGGGGAAUAUUGGACAAUGGGCGAAAGCCUGAUCCAGCCAUGCCGCGUGUGUGAAGAAGGUCUUCGGAUUGUAAAGCACUUUAAGUUGGGAGGAAGGGCAGUAAGUUAAUACCUUGCUGUUUUGACGUUACCAACAGAAUAAGCACCGGCUAACUUCGUG